This is a non-coding RNA of Pelobates cultripes (western spadefoot toad), 80 nucleotides long. NCBI's taxonomy places the organism in Eukaryota, Metazoa, Chordata, Amphibia, Anura, Pelobatidae. The record is from the annotation of a GenBank genome assembly.
UCCAGAAUAAUGGGUGGGAAUAGAUUUUGUUGUGAUGUUCUUAUCUCACAACAAAAUCUAUUCCCACCCAUUAUUCUGGA